GCUUUAAAAGGUAACAGCCAUCCGUUGGUCUUAGGAACCAAAAACUCUUGAUGCAAAUCCUAGUAUUAGCU
This 71-nucleotide transfer RNA is filed under the name Myctophum orientale (oriental lanternfish). Its description in RNAcentral is "tRNA-Leu (CUN)". Lineage: Eukaryota; Metazoa; Chordata; Actinopteri; Myctophiformes; Myctophidae. The record is from RNAcentral.